This is a non-coding RNA of Triticum aestivum (bread wheat), 116 nucleotides long. The record is from Rfam. Lineage: Eukaryota; Viridiplantae; Streptophyta; Magnoliopsida; Poales; Poaceae.
AUCAUAGUCCCUCUGUCCCGAAUUACUUGUGGCAGAAAUGGAUGUAUCUAGAACUAAAACUACGUCUAGAUACAUACAUUUCUGCGACAAGUAAUUCAGGACGGAGGGAGUACUAU